RNAcentral lists this long non-coding RNA (1399 nucleotides) under Capsicum annuum. RNAcentral's name for it is "long non-coding RNA (CANN_LNC021186)". Lineage: Eukaryota; Viridiplantae; Streptophyta; Magnoliopsida; Solanales; Solanaceae. The record is from RNAcentral.
AGUUUACAAACAACAACAUACCCAGUGUAUUCCCAUACAGUGGGGUCUGGGGAGAAUAAAGUGUACACAGACCAUAUCGUUACCUCCGAUGAAGUAGAGAGGCUGUUUCUGAUAGACCCCCUGCUCAGGACAGAUAAACAGUAUAAAAAGACGUAGUGAAAAGAACAACAUAGAAUAGCACACCAAUAGAGAAAAUCAGAAACAAGACACUGGCAGAGUAAUACUAUAAACUAUCUAUCGGAAAAUAACAAACAUUAUCAGAACACCAUGAACAAGAAACUGUGAGACGCGCACAUAGCACUACGACAACUGGCACGACUACAACAAAGCAACCCUAUCUACUAACAAGAACUCAUUCCAACCUAUUAACCCUCUACCCUAAUUGCAUCCUCCACACCUUUCUAGCUAGGGUUAUGUCCUCAGUCUGCCCCAUGUCAUGUCUAAUCACCUUCCUCCAAUACUUCUUCGGCCUACCUCUACCCCGCCUGAAAUCAUCCAUAGCCAACCUCUCACCUUAAUUCCACUUUUAGGAUUGAAUAACUCCUGAUAGUUUAUCUUGUGACCCCAUCUUAUUAUCUAGUAGCUCCCAAUUCCUUCUCAAAGAAAAAAGUAACUCCCAAUUGUUGUUCAUCCAAUUGUACGCCCUUACUCUCGGUAGCACACCUUCCCUAAUCUCUUCCUUUGCCCUUACUUUCAUAGAAAAUCUAAUAUGCCAAAUAAAAGAAAUUGACAAUAACACCUCUUACAAAUCGCUUCUGGAGGGAUGAGAGAACCCCUCUUGUCUGAUUGACCAGAUUCACUUCCACAUACUGGUCCUUUUGUUCAUCAAGAAAAUGUGCGAAGGAUUAUGCUUAUACACCAUCCUGAAUCUGAAAUCACCAGAAUCCCAUGUAUCCAUAGUAAACGGAAAAAUAUCUAGAUCCUCUUCCAAGCUUGAUAUGUUCUUAUCACUAGAGGAUUGCUCCUCAUAACUUUCUUUUCCUUCAGCAUUUUUGGAAAAGCUCCCUUCUUUAAUAUGGACAUGACUCUUAACUUCUUCGGCAGGGUGUGUCUUCAGAUACUAGAUGGCCCUUCUACUGAAGUUCAAGAAAUUAUAGAGGAAUUCCUUAGGAAGUGGAGAUAUGUCGAUGGGAAGUAUUAUACUGUUGCAAGCAUGGAAGCUGAUGUACCUGACAUGGAAGAAUUUAGCAAUCAAAUUUCCCUUGGAGUUGAUACGUACCUGGAAAUUAUUGAGCUCUAUGUGAUAACCUUUUUGGGGAGGAUUCUAGGAAAUUUGGAUCUUGCUAUCUCUUGGGUUGAGAAAUCCCCUCUACCUGAGGAGAAGAGGCAGGUAAAUAAUCUUUCUUGCUUCAUAAUCAAAUGAUGGUCUCAUGUGUAUCUUUUUUCCUUUUGUGCCCCA